AUGGAGAAAGUCAAAGAACCGAAAGCAAAUUGGGACAGUGCUGCUCAUACAAUUUUUAUGAAUGCGUGCGUAGAGGAGGUUCGAGCAAAUAACCGCAACGGUGGUUAUUUGUCGGACAUAGGACAAGCUAAUUUGCAUAAAAAGUUCAACGAACGCUCUGGAAGAAACUAUUCGACUCGGCAAAUCAAAAAUAGGUGGGGUCUAUGUAGAAGCGAGUACAACACAUGGAAGACAUUGAUCCAACAAGCAUCUGGCUUAGGAAGACAUGAGCAUACACACACUAUUGCAGCUACAAAUGAGUGGUGGGCAUUGGAGAUAAAGGUAUUGUUGUUGUCAUGUAAUUUCUUAAAUAACGAGUCAUGUUGCUUCGGUUUUGAUAUUAACCUGUGGUGCUAUAUGAUUACAGGCACAUCCAGAAGCUAUUUGCAUUGGAGAUGUACUGUUAUCUGA
RNAcentral lists this ribosomal RNA (450 nucleotides) under Triticum aestivum (bread wheat). RNAcentral's name for it is "partial small subunit ribosomal RNA". Lineage: Eukaryota; Viridiplantae; Streptophyta; Magnoliopsida; Poales; Poaceae. The record is from RNAcentral.